Molecule: ribosomal RNA, 258 nt
Filed under: uncultured bacterium
Lineage: Bacteria
Description: partial 16S ribosomal RNA
Rfam family: Bacterial small subunit ribosomal RNA
Source: RNAcentral
CGGGACGGGUGAGUAACGCGUGGGUAACCUGCCUUAUACAGGGGGAGUAACAGUCAGAAAUGGCUGCUAAUACCGCAUAAGCGCACAGAGCUGCAUGGCUCAGUGUGAAAAACUCCGGUGGUAUAAGAUGGACCCGCGUUGGAUUAGCUAGUUGGUGGGGUAACGGCCCACCAAGGCGACGAUCCAUAGCCGGCCUGAGAGGGUGAACGGCCACAUUGGGACUGAGACACGGCCCAGACUCCUACGGGAGGCAGCAUG